AUGAACGCUGGCGGCGUGCCUAAUACAUGCAAGUCGAGCGAACAGACGAGGAGCUUGCUCCUCUGACGUUAGCGGCGGACGGGUGAGUAACACGUGGAUAACCUACCUAUAAGACUGGGAUAACUUCGGGAAACCGGAGCUAAUACCGGAUAAUAUAUUGAACCGCAUGGUUCAAUAGUGAAAGACGGCUUUGCUGUCACUUAUAGAUGGAUCCGCGCCGCAUUAGCUAGCUGGUAAGGUAACGGCUUACCAAGGCGACGAUGCGUAGCCGACCUGAGAGGGUGAUCGGCCACACUGGAACUGAGACACGGUCCAGACUCCUACGGGAGGCAGCAGUAGGGAAUCUUCCGCAAUGGGCGAAAGCCUGACGGAGCAACGCCGCGUGAGUGAUGAAGGUCUUCGGAUCGUAAAACUCUGUUAUUAGGGAAGAACAAAUGUGUAAGUAACUAUGCACGUCUUGACGGUACCUAAUCAGAAAGCCACGGCUAACUACGUG
RNAcentral lists this ribosomal RNA (496 nucleotides) under uncultured bacterium. RNAcentral's name for it is "partial 16S ribosomal RNA". It matches the Rfam family "Bacterial small subunit ribosomal RNA", at positions 29 to 507 of the family's 1533-position model. The record is from RNAcentral.